AGCUCCAAUAGCGUAUAUUAAACUUGUUGCGGUUAAAAAGCUCGUAGUUGGAUUUCUGCUGAGGACGACCGGUCCACCCUCUGGGUGAGCAUCUGGCUCGGCCUCGGCAUCUUCUUGGAAAACGCAGCUGCACUUGACUGUGCGGCGCGGUGUCCAGGACUUUUACUUUGAGGAAAUUAGAGUGUUUCAAGCAGGCACACGCCUUGAAUAUAUUAGCAUGGAAUAAUAAGAUAGGAUCUCGGUUCUAUUUUGUUGGUUUCUAGAGCUGAGAUAAUGAUUGAUAGGGACUGUCGGGGGCAUUCGUACAUAACAGUCAGAGGUGAAAUUCUUGGAUUUGUUAUAGACGGACUACUGCGAAAGCAUUUGCCAAGGAUGUUUUCA
This 381-nucleotide ribosomal RNA is filed under the name uncultured eukaryote. RNAcentral describes it as "SSU rRNA". It matches the Rfam family "Eukaryotic small subunit ribosomal RNA", at positions 587 to 972 of the family's 1831-position model. The record is from RNAcentral.